This 965-nucleotide long non-coding RNA is filed under the name Elaeis guineensis (African oil palm). Its description in RNAcentral is "long non-coding RNA (EGUI_LNC058820)". Lineage: Eukaryota; Viridiplantae; Streptophyta; Magnoliopsida; Arecales; Arecaceae. The record is from RNAcentral.
UAUGAAUUAGAUUAUUUAAAAUAUUUAAAAAUAAAUCUCUCCCUUUCUUAUAUAAAGAGUGUUCUAUUUAAUUUUUUUUUUUUAUUAAAGCAAAGAUGAUUUAUAAAAGAAUUUUAUUCUUUUCUUUCUUGAUUCUAGUAUCGGAGCAAUAUAUAUAAAAGAAAAUAUUUCUUUCUCUUUUUUUUAUUUAUUUUGAUAUUAAGGUAAGAAUGAGACAAAUUGAGUAAGAAUCAAAAAUGGAUGCAUUGAAUCAAUUUAGUAUCAGUGUAAAAAUAAAAUUAAUAGAGCAUUUAAGAAAAAUAUAGGUUGAUUAAAGUAAUUUUUUAAAUAUUAUCAAAAUGAAGGUAAAUAAAUGAUGUAUCAGAGUUAAAAAAAAAAUGGACGAAUCAGUAUAGAGACUGCAUUAGAGCAAAUUUUUUUUUUAUUUUAAAUUUAAAAAGAGCAAGAGAUUUUAACAACUAUAUCAUUUUCACCAUUUACCAUUAUUUCUCCCUCUUUACCAUUAUUAUUAUUUAUUUAUCAUUAUUUUUCCUUUUUAUAACAAAUACACCACUUUCACCAUUUACCAUUAUUUCUCCUCCUUUUUGACAUCAUCAAAAAGAAAAACUAGGAGAAUAAUAUUUUCAUGGUGUUAAGUCAAGUAUCAAGGAAAUAGAGUAUCCAUUUAUCCAUCCAAAAAAAAAUGAUAAUAGACAUUCAUUCAUCCAAAAAGACAUGAUAAUAAACAUUCAUUCAUCCAAAGAGAAAUGAGUCAAAUGAAAACAACCUCAUUCAUUUACACCAAAAGAGAGGUUAUAAGAGUCAUAAUGAGCAUAAAGCUCUCAUAUAUCCAAUCUACAAAAUAUAACUAAGUAAUCUAAUAUAAAAUUAUAAAGUCAGAGAGAUUGGGCAUCGAGCACAGAAUCAAGAUAGAUAACGUAGGAUCAGCCUCAUCCUCGAUCGAAGGGUCUGGUCUGAGAUGAAGA